GUAACAUUCUACAGGUGAUUUUGAAAGUCAUUAUUUGGUGGCUACCCCCACCAUGUUACU
This 60-nucleotide transfer RNA is filed under the name Perinereis cultrifera. Its description in RNAcentral is "tRNA-Ser". The record is from RNAcentral. Lineage: Eukaryota; Metazoa; Annelida; Polychaeta; Phyllodocida; Nereididae.